CCUACGGGAGGCAGCAGUAGGGAAUAUUGGGCAAUGGACGCAAGUCUGACCCAGCCAUGCCGCGUGCAGGAAGAAGGCGUUAUGCGUUGUAAACUGCUUUUAUACAGGAAGAAACGACUCUUGCGAGAGGCAUUGACGGUACUGUAUGAAUAAGCACCGGCUAACUCCGUGCCAGCAGCCGCGGUAAUACGGAGGGUGCAAGCGUUGUCCGGAUUUAUUGGGUUUAAAGGGUGCGCAGGUGGUUUAUUAAGUCAGUGGUGAAAGACGGUCGCUCAACGAUUGCAGUGCCAUUGAAACUGGUAGACUUGAGUAAAGUAGAGGUGGGCGGAAUUGAUAGUGUAGCGGUGAAAUGCAUAGAUAUUAUCAAGAACUCCAAUUGCGAAGGCAGCUCACUUGGCUUUUACUGACACUCAUGCACGAAAGUGUGGGUAUCAAACAGGAUUAGAUACCCUGGUAGUCCACACUGUAAACGAUGAUAACUAGGUGUCGGCCGAAUCUGGUCGGUGCCACAGCGAAAGCGUUAAGUUAUCCACCUGGGGAGUACGCCGGCAAACGGUGAAAACUCAAAAUGAAAUUGACGG
This 581-nucleotide ribosomal RNA is filed under the name uncultured bacterium. RNAcentral's name for it is "bacterial SSU rRNA". It matches the Rfam family "Bacterial small subunit ribosomal RNA", at positions 338 to 916 of the family's 1533-position model. The record is from RNAcentral.